AAGAGAUAAGUGCUGAAAGCAUCUAAGCACGAAACUUGCCCCGAGAUGAGUUCUCCCUGAGACUUUAGGUCUCCUGAAGGAACGUUGAAGACGACGACGUUGAUAGGCCGGGUGUGUAAGCGCAGCGAUGCGUUGAGCUAACCGGUACUAAUGAACCGUGAGGCUUAACCUUACAACGCCGAAG
This 184-nucleotide ribosomal RNA is filed under the name Salmonella enterica. Its description in RNAcentral is "partial 23S ribosomal RNA". It matches the Rfam family "Bacterial large subunit ribosomal RNA", at positions 2759 to 2925 of the family's 2925-position model. Lineage: Bacteria; Pseudomonadati; Pseudomonadota; Gammaproteobacteria; Enterobacterales; Enterobacteriaceae. The record is from RNAcentral.